Molecule: ribosomal RNA, 1226 nt
Filed under: uncultured bacterium
Lineage: Bacteria
Description: bacterial SSU rRNA
Rfam family: Bacterial small subunit ribosomal RNA
Source: RNAcentral
AGUCACAAAGCUUUUGAUUCCUUCAGCUGGUUCCGGAAGGAACAGGCCAGUCAACUCAUGGGACUUGAGAUCUCGUCCCAAGUCGUACGCGAGUCAUUCAUUAGGGAGUCUAGAACAAUGGGCGAAAGCAUGAUCCAGCAUGCGCGUGCAGGAUGAAGGCCUCGGGAUAGUAAACUGGUUUGUACGGAUCUGAAAUAGCCUGUUCUAGUAAAGAGGGCUAAUGACGGUACAGUAAGAAUAAGCACAGGCUAACUGCGUGCCAGCAGCCGCGGUAAUACGUAGGGUGCAAGCGUUAAUCGGAAUACUGGGGGUAAAGCGUGCGCAGGCGGUAAUGUAAGACAGUUGUGAAAUCCCCGGGCUCAACCUGGGAACUGCAUCUGUGACUGCAUUGCUGGAGUACGGCAGAGGGGGAUGGAAUUCCGCGUGUAGCAGUGAAAUGCGUAGAUAUCCGGAGGAACACCGAUGGCGAAGGCAAUCCCCUGGGCCUGUACUGACGCUCAUGCACGAAAGCGUGGGGAGCACACAGGAUUAGAUACCCUGGUAGUCCACGCCCUAAACGAUGUCAACUGGUUGUUGGGUCUUCACUGACUCAGUAACGAAGCUAACGCGUGAAGUUGACCGCCUGGGGAGUACGGCCGCAAGGUUGAAACUCAAAGGAAUUGACGGGGACCCGCACAAGCGGUGGAUGAUGUGGUUUAAUUCGAUGCAACGCGAAAAACCUUACCCACCUUUGACAUGUACGGAAUUCGCCAGAGAUGGCUUAGUGCUCGAAAGAGAACCGUAACACAGGUGCUGCAUGGCUGUCGUCAGCUCGUGUCGUGAGGUGUUGGGUUAAGUCCCGCAACGAGCGCAACCCUUGUCAUUAGUUGCUACAUUUAGUUGGGCACUCUAAUGGGACUGCCGGUGACAAACCGGAGGAAGGUGGGGAUGAGGUCAAGUCCUCAUGGCCCUUAUAGGUGGGGCUACACACGUCAUACAAUGGCUGGUACAAAGGGUUGCCAACCCGCGAGGGGGAGCUAAUCCCAUAAAACCAGUCGUAGUCCGGAUCGCAGUCUGCAACUCGACUGCGUGAAGUCGGAAUCGCUAGUAAUCGUGGAUCAGAAUGUCACGGUGAAUACGUUCCCGGGUCUUGUACACACCGCCCGUCACACCAUGGGAGCGGGUUCUGCCAGAAGUAGUUAGCUUAACCGCAAGGAGGGCGAUUACCACGGCAAGGUUUCGAACGG